This 388-nucleotide ribosomal RNA is filed under the name uncultured bacterium. Its description in RNAcentral is "bacterial SSU rRNA". It matches the Rfam family "Bacterial small subunit ribosomal RNA", at positions 28 to 417 of the family's 1533-position model. The record is from RNAcentral.
GACGAACGCUGGCGGCGUGCCUAACACAUGCAAGUCGAGCGGUAAGGCCCUUUCGGGGGUACACGAGCGGCGAACGGGUGAGUAACACGUGGGUGACCUGCCCUCAGCUCUGGGAUAAGCCUGGGAAACCGGGUCUAAUACCGGAUAUGACUCCAUGACGCAUGUUGUGGGGUGGAAAGCCUUGUGCGGCUGAGGAUGGGCCCGCGGCCUAUCAGCUUGUUGGUGGGGUGAUGGCCUACCAAGGCGACGACGGGUAGCCGGCCUGAGAGGGCGACCGGCCACACUGGGACUGAGACACGGCCCAGACUCCUACGGGAGGCAGCAGUGGGGAAUCUUGCGCAAUGGGCGAAAGCCUGACGCAGCGACGCCGCGUGAGGGAUGACGGCCU